UUCGGGAGUAACUGCCCGUACCUUGACGGUACCUAACCAGAAAGCCACGGCUAACUACGUGCCAGCAGCCGCGGUAAUACGUAGGUGGCAAGCGUUGUCCGGAAUUAUUGGGCGUAAAGGGCUCGCAGGCGGUUUCUUAAGUCUGAUGUGAAAGCCCCCGGCUCAACCGGGGAGGGUCAUUGGAAACUGGGAAACUUGAGUGCAGAAGAGGAGAGUGGAAUUCCACGUGUAGCGGUGAAAUGCGUAGAGAUGUGGAGGAACACCAGNUGGCGAAGGCGACUCUCUGGUCUGUAACUGACGCUGAGGAGCGAAAGCGUGGGGAGCGAACAGGAUUAGAUACCCUGGUAGUCCACGCCGUAAACGAUGAGUGCUAAGUGUUGGGGGGUUUCCGCCCCUUAGUGCUGCAGCUAACNGCAUUAAGCACUNCCGCCUGGGGAGUACNGGCCNGCAAGACUGAAACUCAAAGGAAUUGACGGGGGCCCGCACAAGCGGGUGGAGCAUGUGGUUUAAUUCGAAGCAACGCGAAGAACCUUACCAGGUCUUGACAUCCUCUGACAACCCUAGAGAUAGGGCUUUCCCUUCCGGGACAA
RNAcentral lists this ribosomal RNA (590 nucleotides) under uncultured Bacillus sp. RNAcentral's name for it is "bacterial SSU rRNA". It matches the Rfam family "Bacterial small subunit ribosomal RNA", at positions 439 to 1029 of the family's 1533-position model. Lineage: Bacteria; Bacillati; Bacillota; Bacilli; Caryophanales; Bacillaceae. The record is from RNAcentral.